Molecule: ribosomal RNA, 1372 nt
Filed under: uncultured bacterium
Lineage: Bacteria
Description: bacterial SSU rRNA
Rfam family: Bacterial small subunit ribosomal RNA
Source: RNAcentral
GAUGAACGCUGGCGGCGUGCCUAAUACAUGCAAGUCGAGCGAACGGACGAGAAGCUUGCUUCUCUGAUGUUAGCGGCGGACGGGUGAGUAACACGUGGAUAACCUACCCAUAAGACUGGGAUAACUUCGGGAAACCGGAGCUAAUACCGGAUAAUAUUUUGAACCGCAUGGUUCAAAAGUGAAAGACGGUCUUGCUGUCACUUAUAGAUGGAUCCGCGCUGCAUUAGCUAGUUGGUAAGGUAACGGCUUACCAAGGCAACGAUGCAUAGCCGACCUGAGAGGGUGAUCGGCCACACUGGAACUGAGACACGGUCCAGACUCCUACGGGAGGCAGCAGUAGGGAAUCUUCCGCAAUGGGCGAAAGCCUGACGGAGCAACGCCGCGUGAGUGAUGAAGGUCUUCGGAUCGUAAAACUCUGUUAUUAGGGAAGAACAUAUGUGUAAGUAACUGUGCACAUCUCGACGGUACCUAAUCAGAAAGCCACGGCUAACUACGUGCCAGCAGCCGCGGUAAUACGUAGGUGGCAAGCGUUAUCCGGAAUUAUUGGGCGUAAAGCGCGCGUAGGCGGUUUUUUAAGUCUGAUGUGAAAGCCCACGGCUCAACCGUGGAGGGUCAUUGGAAACUGGAAAACUUGAGUGCAGAAGAGGAAAGUGGAAUUCCAUGUGUAGCGGUGAAAUGCGCAGAGAUAUGGAGGAACACCAGUGGCGAAGGCGACUUUCUGGUCUGUAACUGACGCUGAUGUGCGAAAGCGUGGGGAUCAAACAGGAUUAGAUACCCUGGUAGUCCACGCCGUAAACGAUGAGUGCUAAGUGUUAGGGGGUUUCCGCCCCUUAGUGCUGCAGCUAACGCAUUAAGCACUCCGCCUGGGGAGUACGACCGCAAGGUUGAAACUCAAAGGAAUUGACGGGGACCCGCACAAGCGGUGGAGCAUGUGGUUUAAUUCGAAGCAACGCGAAGAACCUUACCAAAUCUUGACAUCCUUUGACAACUCUAGAGAUAGAGCUUUCCCCUUCGGGGGACAAAGUGACAGGUGGUGCAUGGUUGUCGUCAGCUCGUGUCGUGAGAUGUUGGGUUAAGUCCCGCAACGAGCGCAACCCUUAAGCUUAGUUGCCAUCAUUAAGUUGGGCACUCUAAGUUGACUGCCGGUGACAAACCGGAGGAAGGUGGGGAUGACGUCAAAUCAUCAUGCCCCUUAUGAUUUGGGCUACACACGUGCUACAAUGGACAAUACAAAGGGCAGCGAAACCGCGAGGUCAAGCAAAUCCCAUAAAGUUGUUCUCAGUUCGGAUUGUAGUCUGCAACUCGACUACAUGAAGCUGGAAUCGCUAGUAAUCGUAGAUCAGCAUGCUACGGUGAAUACGUUCCCGGGUCU